UUUCCAGUUUUUUUCGGCGAUGGCGACGGUCCGGCGAACCAAGGAAGGAGACGACGGAAUAUUUCGUCAAGUUUGACAGAAUAUUCCAACGGCGUCAGGUUAGUUUUAACGGUAUAUGCUACUUUUUAACGGAAUAUUCCCUAACGUCGUUAGGAUUACCGUCAGUGUGCCAGGCACGUGCCUGCGCGUGGGCGGCCCGUCUGGCCGUGCCUUGGCCGGGGCGUGGGUGGUCGGAAAAUUUUUCUAAAAAUAUGGGGAUGUUCGUGAAGUUGUGUAGAUCACGUUGGUAUAUUCAAACAUCUCAUUUGAGCAAUGUAUGAGAAGUUAUUAGCUAGUAUUGGUUAUGUGCUUUAAAUUAACGUUUCUAUAGUUGUUUCGCAUAUAGGGGAGACUUAUCCCGAGGACGAGCGCAGUCAAGGGCGACUCGAGGGCUACGACCCUUCGACAUACCAGUGAGUGGGCUUUUGGUUUUCAGUAUUUAUUUAUAUACUUGAUAUUUUCCCAGAAAAUAUGUUUAAAUGAAAGUAUGCCUUGAAUUGCCAUGCAUAUAAAUUGAUAUUCAGUAUAUGAAAUAGUACAUGAUGCAUAUAUAUAAUUGUGGUGCUGUGGACACUCAAGUAAGCCAGGUGAGUUUAUGAAUUGUGAAUGUGAUUAACGUUUAUGAUUAAUUGAGAAGCUUAGAGCUCAUAAACCUUCACCCUGGGUGAUUGUGAAUUACUGGAGAUAGAAUACAGGUAUGUUUAUAAUGUCACCUCCCGCACCAUAUGCUCAUAUUGGAUCCAAUUUAGGUGCACAGUCUUGUCGUACAGACCAUCAUAGGUGUUCCGACUCGUAGAUGACUAGCGAUUUAUCGCACAUCUAUCAUGAGAAAGUAGCGUUGAGCAUAAUUAUAUUACACCCAGUCUUGUCGUACAGACCCUUUUAGUGGUUCUGACUUAUGUGCAGUGUAGUGCCGUAUAGGUCAUUGUAGUGACUCCGGCUAGAUUGACUAAUGAGCUAUGAAAUCAGCCGUACAGACUUAUACAGAGGUUCCGGCUAAUAUGCUAUUUCCAUGAAUUUAUUCUCACCUGAGUCAUUUAUCCUAUUUUCAUGUUUUGGCAUGGCAUACUUAUGAAUAUAGUUAUGUGAAGCAUGAUUUGAAUUGAGAUAUUUAUAUAGUUAUGCAUAUGUUUAUAUUCUAUCUUUGGGAAAAUUAUACAUGUUUUACAACGAGGGGUUAGAACAUUUGAAAGUUAAGUGUGUUUUCAAAACCUUUGUUUUUGCCCACUCACGUUUUCUGUUCUGCGCCCUUCUAGGUUUUAGGUAGACUUGUUGUUGGUGGCAAUUUGAGGAUCUCGGCGG
This 1341-nucleotide long non-coding RNA is filed under the name Malus domestica (apple). Its description in RNAcentral is "long non-coding RNA (MDOM_LNC008778)". Lineage: Eukaryota; Viridiplantae; Streptophyta; Magnoliopsida; Rosales; Rosaceae. The record is from RNAcentral.